RNAcentral lists this transfer RNA (132 nucleotides) under Drepanopeziza brunnea f. sp. 'multigermtubi' MB_m1. Its description in RNAcentral is "Marssonina brunnea f. sp. 'multigermtubi' MB_m1 tRNA". It matches the Rfam family "tRNA". From Rfam's summary of the family: Transfer RNA (tRNA) molecules are approximately 80 nucleotides in length. Their secondary structure includes four short double-helical elements and three loops (D, anti-codon, and T loops). Further hydrogen bonds mediate the characteristic L-shaped molecular structure. tRNAs have two regions of fundamental functional importance: the anti-codon, which is responsible for specific mRNA codon recognition, and the 3' end, to which the tRNAs corresponding amino acid is attached (by aminoacyl-tRNA synthetases). tRNAs cope with the degeneracy of the genetic code in two manners: having more than one tRNA (with a specific anti-codon) for a particular amino acid; and 'wobble' base-pairing, i.e. permitting non-standard base-pairing at the 3rd anti-codon position. The record is from Rfam by way of RNAcentral. Lineage: Eukaryota; Fungi; Ascomycota; Leotiomycetes; Helotiales; Drepanopezizaceae.
GCUCCGCUGGCGCAAUGGUAGCGCGCAAGACUUCUAUCCUGAGGUCCUGGUAUCGUCGCGGUGAGAUGAGAUCACGGUGUCCGCGAUACAGAUGUUAUCUUGAGGUUGUGGGUUCGAGUCCCACGCGGAGUG